UGCAAGUCGAGGGGAAACGACAUCGAAAGCUUGCUUUUGAUGGGCGUCGACUGGCGCACGGGUGAGUAACGCGUAUCCAACCUGCCCAUCACUUGGGGAUAACCUUGCGAAAGUAAGACUAAUACCCAAUGAUAUCUCUAGAAGGCAUCUGAAAGAGAUUAAAGAUUUAUCGGUGAUGGAUGGGGAUGCGUCUGAUUAGCUUGUUGGCGGGGUAACGGCCCACCAAAGCAACGAUCAGUAGGGGUUCUGAGAGGAAGGUCCCCCACAUUGGAACUGAGACACGGUCCAAACUCCUACGGGAGGCAGCAGUGAGGAAUAUUGGUCAAUGGACGAGAGUCUGAACCAGCCAAGUAGCGUGCAGGAUGACGGCCCUAUGGGUUGUAAACUGCUUUUAUAAGGGAAUAAGGUGAGUCUCGUGAGACUUUUUGCAUGUACCUUAUGAAUAAGGACCGGCUAAUUCCGUGCCAGCAGCCGCGGUAAUACGGAAGGUCCGGGCGUUAUCCGGAUUUAUUGGGUUUAAAGGGAGCGUAGGCCGGAGAUUAAGCGUGUUGUGAAAUGUAGAUGCUCAACAUCUGCACUGCAGCGCGAACUGGUUUCCUUGAGUACGCACAAAGUGGGCGGAAUUCGUGGUGUAGCGGUGAAAUGCUUAGAUAUCACGAAGAACUCCGAUUGCGAAGGCAGCUCACUGGAGCGCAACUGACGCUGAAGCUCGAAAGUGCGGGUAUCGAACAGGAUUAGAUACCCUGGUAGUCCGCACGGUAAACGAUGGAUGCCCGCUGUUGGUCUGAAUAGGUCAGCGGCCAAGCGAAAGCAUUAAGCAUCCCACCUGGGGAGUACGCCGGCAACGGUGAAACUCAAAGGAAUUGACGGGGGCCCGCACAAGC
Molecule: ribosomal RNA, 884 nt
Filed under: uncultured bacterium
Lineage: Bacteria
Description: bacterial SSU rRNA
Rfam family: Bacterial small subunit ribosomal RNA
Source: RNAcentral